Molecule: ribosomal RNA, 402 nt
Filed under: Hydrelia sylvata
Lineage: Eukaryota; Metazoa; Arthropoda; Insecta; Lepidoptera; Geometridae
Description: eukaryotic LSU rRNA
Source: RNAcentral
CUCAGGGGUAAACCUGCGAAACUCGAAUGAACGAACGGGGAGAUUCAUCGUUAUUCCGCGGCGUGACGGUGCACACUCGAUACGGACGGCUCGCCGUGCUGUACGGUGUGUGCCGUUCUACGUUCGUGGACGGCGUGCACUUCUCCCUUAGUAAUACAUCGCGACCCGUUCGAUGUCGGUCUAAGCGCCGUUCGGGAGUCACGCUCGUCCCUUCGGGGCGCGGGUGCGACCGUGACGGUUGCCGACCGGCUGUCGGACGGUAUCAUGACGGAUCUCGUACGCGUUUACGCGCGUCCGGCCCGACGCAAGGCUACGUCGUUCAUUUCCGUUCUGCCUUUGUGCGAGCGGAGGUGCGGCGCGCCUGUCGUCGCAGCCGUGCUGUCUCGGACUGUACGUGUACCG